GACGAACGCUGGCGGCGUGCCUAAUACAUGCAAGUAGAACGCUGAAGGAGGAGCUUGCUCUUCUGGAUGAGUUGCGAACGGGUGAGUAGCGCGUAGGUAACCUGCCUGGUAGCGGGGGAUAACUAUUGGAAACGAUAGCUAAUACCGCAUAAGAGUAGAUGUUGCAUGACAUUUGCUUAAAAGGUGCAAUUGCAUCACUACCAGAUGGACCUGCGUUGUAUUAGCUAGUUGGUGGGGUAACGGCUCACCAAGGCGACGAUACAUAGCCGACCUGAGAGGGUGAUCGGCCACACUGGGACUGAGACACGGCCCAGACUCCUACGGGAGGCAGCAGUAGGGAAUCUUCGGCAAUGGACGGAAGUCUGACCGAGCAACGCCGCGUGAGUGAAGAAGGGUUUCGGAUCGUAAAGCUCUGUUGUAAGAGAAGAACGAGUGUGAGAGUGGAAAGUUCACACUGUGACGGUAUCUUACCAGAAAGGGACGGCUAACUACGUG
This 495-nucleotide ribosomal RNA is filed under the name uncultured bacterium. RNAcentral's name for it is "partial 16S ribosomal RNA". It matches the Rfam family "Bacterial small subunit ribosomal RNA", at positions 28 to 507 of the family's 1533-position model. The record is from RNAcentral.